GACGUAGGGUGCGAGCGUUGUCCGGAAUUAUUGGGCGUAAAGAGCUUGUAGGCGGUUUGUCGCGUCUGCCGUGAAAAUCCGGGGCUCAACCCCGGACUUGCGGUGGGUACGGGCAGACUAGAGUGUGGUAGGGGAGACUGGAAUUCCUGGUGUAGCGGUGAAAUGCGCAGAUAUCAGGAGGAACACCGAUGGCGAAGGCAGGUCUCUGGGCCACUACUGACGCUGAGAAGCGAAAGCGUGGGGAGCGAACAGG
Molecule: ribosomal RNA, 253 nt
Filed under: uncultured bacterium
Lineage: Bacteria
Description: partial 16S ribosomal RNA
Rfam family: Bacterial small subunit ribosomal RNA
Source: RNAcentral